CCUACGGGCGAUAGCAGUGGGGAAUAUUGCACAAUGGGCGAAAGCCUGAUGCAGCAACGCCGCGUGAAGGAAGAAGGGUUUCGGCUCGUAAACUUCUAUCACCAGGGACGAAAGAAAUGACGGUACCUGAAUAAGAAGCCCCGGCUAACUACGUGCCAGCAGCCGCGGUAAUACGUAGGGGGCAAGCGUUAUCCGGAAUUACUGGGUGUAAAGGGAGCGUAGACGGUAAUGCAAGUCUGGAGUGAAAGGCGGGGGCCCACCCCCCGGACUGCUCUGGAAACUGUGUAACUGGAGUGCAGGAGAGGCAGGCGGAAUUCCUAGUGUAGCGGUGAAAUGCGUAGAUAUUAGGAGGAACACCAGUGGCGAAGGCGGCCUGCUGGACUGUAAAUGACGUUGAGGCUCGAAAGCGUGGGGAGCAAACAGGAUUAGAUACCCUUGUAGUC
This 443-nucleotide ribosomal RNA is filed under the name uncultured bacterium. RNAcentral describes it as "partial 16S ribosomal RNA". It matches the Rfam family "Bacterial small subunit ribosomal RNA", at positions 338 to 795 of the family's 1533-position model. The record is from RNAcentral.